This is a long non-coding RNA of Odontomachus brunneus, 407 nucleotides long. RefSeq lists it as uncharacterized. The record is from RefSeq and is a predicted model, not a curated record. The transcript has 3 exons. NCBI's taxonomy places the organism in Eukaryota, Metazoa, Arthropoda, Insecta, Hymenoptera, Formicidae.
CUACGAGUUUUAUAAUGUAACAUAUAAUUCGAUAUAUUAUAUUUGCUUUGUACAAAAAUGAAGGAAAAACCGCUUGUGAAAAAAGUGAGUUUGCAAAAUAUUAUAUUAAUAUUACCAACAAAACAAUAUAAUUAACGUUAUGAAAAAGCGGGAUGAUGCGAUGUUGGAUUCUUUCUGGAAAAUAUCGAAAGAAUGUCAUUAUUAAUAUACGUGAUUAUACGUGUUCAUCACAACACAUUCGAUGGAAUACAUAUGUCUUGAUUGAUAUUCAAUAUUAUUUCAUAUAUAUUAUAAUAAUUUAUAUCUUUUUACACGAAUCUGGAAUUCAUUAACGUAACAUUGGUAAUUUAUAUACAUUAAAAAAAAUUUUAAAUAUAGCAUUAAAAUAUAACAAACACUAAAAAACA